Molecule: long non-coding RNA, 519 nt
Organism: Tripterygium wilfordii
Lineage: Eukaryota; Viridiplantae; Streptophyta; Magnoliopsida; Celastrales; Celastraceae
Exons: 4
Source: RefSeq, a predicted model, not a curated record
CCUAUCACACAUUUUUUUUCUCCUGUUCUCCUCACUCUACCGUGUACCCUCUUCCUCCACCAUCAUCUCAACUUCACUUGCAGCCACCUCCGAUCACCAGCUGACCACCUUAUUUUGGAACUAUCUUUGAAGGUCUCUACAAGUUGGUUGGCUCAUUGGAUAGUACUUGGAGAUUAUUGCUUAAUCUUGUGAAGUUUGUGUCUACAAGAGGUCAAGAGGAUAUUCAGGAUCGAUUGUCGGAGGCGUGACAGUGCAGUGGAGUCUACGUCUAUUAGAUUUAUAUUUCUUGUCUUUAUUUAGGAUUUAGACUUGUUAAACUAUGGAAAUUUGGCACGUUUCUCAAUCACCAUUGACUUGAGCUAUUUUUGUAAUACUCCGUAUUUUUGGGUCCGUUAAAACGGACAAGUGUCCUUAGUAGUACCAUCCAUUGAGUCAUAUAGUGUUAUGAAUAUAGAUCAUAAAAGAAUAGUAAAUUGAAUAGAAGGGUAAAGCUGUAAAUAGAUUGUGGCAUAAUUGUAA